CGAAAAACACUCUGAAGACUACAUUGUCACUUUUCUUUUAGAUGUGAACACUAAAAGAGCACAAAUCCUGACUCCAGGCUCUCACCACUUUCUUCCUGGGUCCAGUUUGGGUCCAAGUUUGUGGGCAUAAGGAAAUAUCCUUGUUUUCCAUGUUUUUCCAUGAGUUUGAUGAAGAAAUACAGCAAAAUGAAAAGAAAAUGUAGUCACUGACAAGGUUUCCAGGCCCCAAAACAGAGAAGCAUCCCCAUAGCCUGAUAAUGCCUCUACCAUGCUUCAAGGGACGUAUAAGGUACGCUUUUGCAGACUGAGACUACACCACGUCCUGGAAGAGAAACAUAAG
Molecule: long non-coding RNA, 340 nt
Organism: Esox lucius (northern pike)
Lineage: Eukaryota; Metazoa; Chordata; Actinopteri; Esociformes; Esocidae
Source: Ensembl